UGCCAGCCGCCGCGGUAAUACGGAGGGUCCGAGCGUUGUCCGGAAUUAUUGGGUUUAAAGGGUACGUAGGCGGAUUAAUAAGUCAGAGCUGAAAUCCUACAGCUUAACUGUAGAACUGGCUUUGAAACUGUUAAUCUUGAGUAUGGUAGAGAUAGGCGGAAUUUAUAAUGUAGCGGUGAAAUGCAUAGAUAUUAUAAAGAACACCGAUAGCGAAGGCAGCUUGUUGGACCAUAACUGACGCUAAUGUACGAAAGUGUGGGUAGCGAACAGGAUUAGAUA
This 279-nucleotide ribosomal RNA is filed under the name uncultured bacterium. Its description in RNAcentral is "partial 16S ribosomal RNA". It matches the Rfam family "Bacterial small subunit ribosomal RNA", at positions 506 to 784 of the family's 1533-position model. The record is from RNAcentral.